GAUGAACGCUGGCGGCGUGCCUAAUACAUGCAAGUCGAGCGAACAGACGAGGAGCUUGCUCCUCUGACGUUAGCGGCGGACGGGUGAGUAACACGUGGAUAACCUACCUAUAAGACUGUGAUAACUUCGGGAAAUCGGAGCUAAUACCGGAUAAUAUAUUGAACCGCAUUGUUCAAUAGUGAAAGACGGUUUUGCUGUCACUUAUAGAUUGCUCCGCGCCACAUUAGCUAGUUGGGAAGGUAACGGCUUACCAAGGCAACGAUGCGUAGCCGACCUGAAAGGGUGGUCGGCCAGACGGGAACUGAGAAGGGGACCAGACUCCGAGGGGAGGCAACAGUAGGGAAUCUUACGCAAGGGACGAGAGGGUGACAGAGCAAAACCGCGUGAAGGAUGAAGGACUAAGGAUCGUAAAGCUAUGUUAUUAGGGAAGAACAAAUGUGUAAGUAACUAUGCACGUCUUGACGGUACCGAAUCAAAAAGCCACGGCUAACUACGUG
Molecule: ribosomal RNA, 497 nt
Filed under: uncultured bacterium
Lineage: Bacteria
Description: partial 16S ribosomal RNA
Rfam family: Bacterial small subunit ribosomal RNA
Source: RNAcentral